RNAcentral lists this ribosomal RNA (523 nucleotides) under uncultured fungus. RNAcentral describes it as "eukaryotic LSU rRNA". The stretch from base 153 to 306 matches the Rfam family "5.8S ribosomal RNA". Lineage: Eukaryota; Fungi. The record is from RNAcentral.
GUCGUACAGGUCUCCGUAGGUGAACCUGCGGAAGGAUCAUUAUUGAUUGGUCGAAAGACCUUAUCAGAUUCUACCACCUCUGUGAACCGUUGACCUCCGGGUUAAUAAUCAAACAUCAGUGUAACGAACGUAAGAGUAUCUUAAUUAAACAAAACUUUUAACAACGGAUCUCUUGGCUCUCGCAUCGAUGAAGAACGCAGCGAAAUGCGAUAAGUAAUGUGAAUUGCAGAGUUCAGUGAAUCAUCGAAUCUUUGAACGCACCUUGCGCCUUUUGGUAUUCCGAAAGGCAUGCCUGUUUCAGUGUCAUGAAAUCUCAAUCUAAUAUGUUUUCUGAACAUGUUAGGCUUGGACUUGGGUGUCUGCCAGCAAUGGCUCACCUCAAAUGACUUAGUGGAACAUCCCACAUCAGUGUUAGACGUAAUAAGUUUCGUCUCUCCUUGUGGUGAUGACUGCUCAAAACCUGCCAUCGCGCACCUUUUGACUUUGACCUGAAAUCAGGUAGGGCUACCCGCUGAACUUAAGC